CGCUAUGUUCUUCCUUCAUUAAAACUCUGAGGGGGUGAACUUUUUCGUAACUACCUCUAUAUCGCUAUAAUAAGCGAUAUAGUGGUUUGAAAUUUACGUGACGUCACAGUGAGCUGCGCCCUCCCUUCUCCUUACUUUUUCCUGUGUCAUUGAACACAACUCGAGACUUUCGAAACCUCCCACUCAGUAUCGGAUGAAUAACACAGUUUGAUGUUUUGCUUGUUCUGCUGACGGACACGUUAAAGACGUCUGCGCUCCCGUUUCUGUGCAUGUCCAGCAUGAGACAACUGGAAUUCAACCACAUUGAACACCGACUUCAGGGACAGACGAGCCUGAAGGACACAGCUGUGAUGACCAUGUUCUGUCUCUUAUGGCAAAGCAGAAAUAUAAAACACUGGGUUCUUAUCUAAAGUGUAUCAAAUCAGAUCUCCACCAUGUUGCUGCUGAGGACAUCAGGUGCUGCAGUUCUUCAUCUAUGAAGAGAAAAAACGCACUGUUAAAGAAUGUUUUGUGUUGUGUAUAAAGCACAACAGAUUUCUGAUAGAACUGUUGUACUGUGGUCUUGGUUUAUAUCCUCAUGGUGAAAUGUACAUAUUUUAAGUCCCUUCUGAUAAAAGUGCUGAAAGAAAUACAACAUUGUACAAAUACAUAAAAUGUCUUUCUACCUCAUCAGUACUAUUCAAGGUGAUAAUCUCCCACAGACCUAUUGAUAACAGUCCAAAUCAAGUCUUUCCACUUCUCUCAGUGUGAAAACAUAAUUCUAUAAUUAAUUUGAGAACUGUUUACAACACUGAUGUGUGGAGAUUAAAAUCAUACCUAAACUGUCUAAUUCACUGUAAAACUCCAUGACAUUCGCAGGCCAUCUGUAGUUAAGGGAGCAACGCAUGGAAUGAUGUGUAGAUUACUAGUUUGAUGAUGCAUGAGGAGAGGCGGUGGUCGAGUGGCAGAAACUUGGACUAUGGGCAGAGAAGGUCUCUGGUUCGUCUUUGGUUCGACUCCAUGGAGAGACAACAAAAGUCGAACCUGGAUUGAUCUGUCCAAAAAUCCAAGAGUCUCCCUACCCUCUCUAGUGCCCAUGAGCAAGGCACCUCACUCCCCCAACAUCUGCUCCCCCGAGCGCCGUACAUGGUCGCUCACUGCUCUGUGUGUCCUGCACCAGAUGGGUAAAAAGCAGCGAUUAAAUUUCCCUACCUGCAUGAGUGUGCCUUUGCAUGUCUGUGCAUGUGUUUGGGAUGAAUAAAUGGAUUUUAAUCUUAA
This is a long non-coding RNA of Platichthys flesus (European flounder), 1257 nucleotides long. RefSeq lists it as uncharacterized. The transcript is spliced from 3 exons. NCBI's taxonomy places the organism in Eukaryota, Metazoa, Chordata, Actinopteri, Pleuronectiformes, Pleuronectidae. The record is from RefSeq and is a predicted model, not a curated record.